UGGGGGAUAUUGCACAAUGGGGGGAACCCUGAUGCAGCGACGCCGCGUGGGUGAAGGAGCGUUUCGGCGCGUAAAGCCCUAUCGGCAGGGAAGAAGACGACGGUACCUGACCAAGAAGCCCCGGCUAACUACGUGCCAGCAGCCGCGGUAAUACGUAGGGGGCAAGCGUUAUCCGGAUUUACUGGGUGUAAAGGGGGCGCAGACGGCAAUGCAAGCCAGGAGUGAAAGCCCGGGGCCCAACCCCGGGACUGCUCUUGGAACUGCAUGGCUGGAGUACAGGAGGGGCAGGCGGAAUUCCUAGUGUAGCGGUGAAAUGCGUAGAUAUUAGGAGGAACACCGGUGGCGAAGGCGGCCUGCUGGACUGUGACUGACGUUGAGGCCCGAAGGCGUGGGGAGCAAACAGGAUUAGAUACCC
This 415-nucleotide ribosomal RNA is filed under the name uncultured bacterium. RNAcentral describes it as "bacterial SSU rRNA". It matches the Rfam family "Bacterial small subunit ribosomal RNA", at positions 355 to 787 of the family's 1533-position model. The record is from RNAcentral.